GGGUCCCACCUCUUCCCAUUCCGAACAGAGAAGUUAAGCCCGCCUGCGCCGAUGGUACUGCAAUGCAAUGCGGGAGAGUAGGAGGCCGCCACUU
RNAcentral lists this ribosomal RNA (94 nucleotides) under Prevotella sp. Lineage: Bacteria; Pseudomonadati; Bacteroidota; Bacteroidia; Bacteroidales; Prevotellaceae. The record is from RNAcentral.